CGUGCCAGCAGCCGCGGUAAUACGGAGGAUCCAAGCGUUAUCCGGAAUCUUUGGGUUUAAAGGGUCCGUAGGCGGUUUAAUAAGUCAGUGGUGAAAUCUGGUCGCUCAACGAUCAAACGGCCAUUGAUACUGUUAGACUUGAAUUAUUAGGAAGUAACUAGAAUAUGUAGUGUAGCGGUGAAAUGCUUAGAGAUUACAUGGAAUACCAAUUGCGAAGGCAGGUUACUACUAAUUGAUUGACGCUGAUGGACGAAAGCGUGGGUAGCGAACAGGAUUAGAUACCCUGGUAGUCCACGCCGUAAACGAUGGAUACUAGCUGUUCGGAGCAAUCUGAGUGGCUAAGCGAAAGUGAUAAGUAUCCCACCUGGGGAGUACGUUCGCAAGAAUGAAACUCAAAGGAAUUGACGGGGGCCCGCACAAGCGGUGGAGCAUGUGGUUUAAUUCGAUGAUACGCGAGGAACCUUACCAAGGCUUAAAUGUAGAUUGACCGUUUUGGAAACAGAACUUUCGCAAGACAAUUUACAAGGUGCUGCAUGGUUGUCGUCAGCUCGUGCCGUGAGGUGUCAGGUUAAGUCCUAUAACGAGCGCAACCCCUGUUGUUAGUUGCCAGCGAGUCAAGUCGGGAACUCUAGCAAGACUGCCAGUGCAAACUGUGAGGAUGGUGGGG
This 667-nucleotide ribosomal RNA is filed under the name uncultured Flavobacterium sp. RNAcentral's name for it is "bacterial SSU rRNA". It matches the Rfam family "Bacterial small subunit ribosomal RNA", at positions 504 to 1178 of the family's 1533-position model. Lineage: Bacteria; Pseudomonadati; Bacteroidota; Flavobacteriia; Flavobacteriales; Flavobacteriaceae. The record is from RNAcentral.